GAUGAACGCUGGCGGCGUGCCUAAUACAUGCAAGUCGAACGCACAGCGAAAGGUGCUUGCACCUUUCAAGUGAGUGGCGAACGGGUGAGUAACACGUGGACAACCUGCCUCAAGGCUGGGGAUAACAUUUGGAAACAGAUGCUAAUACCGAAUAAAACUCAGUGUCGCAUGACACAAAGUUAAAAGGCGCUUUGGCGUCACCUAGAGAUGGAUCCGCGGUGCAUUAGUUAGUUGGUGGGGUAAAGGCCUACCAAGACAAUGAUGCAUAGCAGGGUUGAGAGACUGAACGGCCACAUUGGGACUGAGACACGGCCCAAACUCCUACGGGAGGCUGCAGUAGGGAAUCUUCCACAAUGGGCGAAAGCCUGAUGGAACAACGCCGCGUGUGUGAUGAAGGCUUUCGGGUCGUAAAGCACUGUUGUAUGGGAAGAACAGCUAGAAUAGGGAAUGAUUUUAGUUUGACGGUACCAUACCAGAAAGGGACGGCUAAAUACGUGCCAGCCGCCGCCGUAA
RNAcentral lists this ribosomal RNA (513 nucleotides) under uncultured bacterium. Its description in RNAcentral is "partial 16S ribosomal RNA". It matches the Rfam family "Bacterial small subunit ribosomal RNA", at positions 28 to 523 of the family's 1533-position model. The record is from RNAcentral.